RNAcentral lists this transfer RNA (73 nucleotides) under Camelus bactrianus (Bactrian camel). It matches the Rfam family "tRNA". Rfam says of the family: Transfer RNA (tRNA) molecules are approximately 80 nucleotides in length. Their secondary structure includes four short double-helical elements and three loops (D, anti-codon, and T loops). The record is from Rfam by way of RNAcentral. Lineage: Eukaryota; Metazoa; Chordata; Mammalia; Artiodactyla; Camelidae. RNAcentral also lists the same sequence under 3 other names.
GAGGGUAUAGCUCAAGUGGUAGACCUCAUGCUUAUCAUGCAUGAGGUCCUGGGUUCAAUUCCCAGUACCUCCU